CAAAGUUUAUUUCUUACAACAAAGCGAAAGUUUCUGCAACUCAGCUAUCGUUUCAGGAAUUAUGGGGUGGCUGGCCGGAGCAAAUCGAACGGCUACGCGUAGAUCGGACGACCCUCCAAGUGGUGGAUGUUUAGUAAACAUCCACCGGUGGAUGCGUAGCAUGCCCCUUUUACCUUCAAGACAGAUAGAUGACAACUUAAGAGCUGAGAAGAUUAAUCAGCUUCGAAAAAAUAACGAUACGACAUGUGCUAGGAGUAGUAUUUGGCAUAUACUGGCCAAUUUGUGAUUGCAAAUACUAAUUUACAUGCUGACCAUGAAAGAGCUCCAAAGUUUAAUCAGCUUCCUAACUUAAUUGGUGACAGAUAUAUAUGACAGGUAGUACCAGAAUGUCACUUACUGGUUAAUACGGAGUAAUCGAUAGAAGGCAUGCCAUGUACAGUACUAAUUGACAUACUGACUUUAUUCGCCACACUUUGCAGCUUGCAAACACGGGUCUACUCAAAGUACAAAACCCAAAACCCAUGAACAUAGUACCAAGUCACAGUUACAACAGUAAAUAACAGGAGCACCACCACCACAACCUCCCUUCUUUUCCCUAAAUAAAAACUAUGCAGAUCCUAAGUAAACAAGGUACUACUAGAGGAUCUAUGUAGUUUUCGUUAGGUGGGCAUGCAGUGAACACACUCCUCACAUCAGUAACGCAGCAGCUAGGAGCUCGUCGACCUUAAUUAACUUGGCACGAUGGAGCUAGCUAGAAUGGGUAGUCCAUGGCAGGGAGCAUGCCGGGGACGCCAAGCAANNNNNN
RNAcentral lists this long non-coding RNA (805 nucleotides) under Hordeum vulgare. Its description in RNAcentral is "long non-coding RNA (HVUL_LNC003159)". Lineage: Eukaryota; Viridiplantae; Streptophyta; Magnoliopsida; Poales; Poaceae. The record is from RNAcentral.